UGGGGAAUUUUGCACAAUGGGGGAAACCCUGAUGCAGCGACGCCGCGUGAUUUAGAAGGCCUUCGGGUUGUAAAAAUCUUUUCUAUGGGAAGAAAAUGACAGUACCAUAGGAAUAAGGACCGGCUAAUUACGUGCCAGCAGCCGCGGUAAUACGUAAGGUCCGAGCGUUGUCCGGAAUCAUUGGGCGUAAAGGGUACGUAGGCGGGUAAGCAAGUUAGAAGUGAAAUCCUAUAGCUCAACUAUAGUAAGCUUUUAAAACUGCUCAUCUUGAGGUAUGGAAGGGAAAGUGGAAUUCCUAGUGUAGCGGUGAAAUGCGCAGAUAUUAGGAGGAAUACCGGUGGCGAAGGCGACUUUCUGGCCAUAACCUGACGUUGAGGUACGAAAGCGUGGGUAGCAAACAGG
RNAcentral lists this ribosomal RNA (402 nucleotides) under bacterium. RNAcentral describes it as "partial 16S ribosomal RNA". It matches the Rfam family "Bacterial small subunit ribosomal RNA", at positions 355 to 776 of the family's 1533-position model. The record is from RNAcentral.